This 1962-nucleotide ribosomal RNA is filed under the name uncultured Chlamydia sp. RNAcentral describes it as "bacterial LSU rRNA". It matches the Rfam family "Bacterial large subunit ribosomal RNA", at positions 1 to 1933 of the family's 2925-position model. The record is from RNAcentral. Lineage: Bacteria; Pseudomonadati; Chlamydiota; Chlamydiia; Chlamydiales; Chlamydiaceae.
UACAGACCAAGUUGUUAAGAGCUAUUGGCGGAUGCCUUGGCAUUGACAGGCGAUGAAGGAUGCGUUUACCUGCAGUAAUCUUCGGCGAGCUGGUAUAAAGCUAUGACCCGGAGGUAUCCGAAUGGGGCAACCCGGUAGAUUAAUCGUCUACCAUUAUAUGCUGAAUACAUAGGCAUAUAAAGCGACACCUGCUGAACUGAAACAUCUUAGUAAGCAGAGGAAAAUAAAUCAAAGAGAUUCCCUAAGUAGCGGCGAGCGAAAGGGGAGAAGACCAAACCACAUCAUUGGUGUGGGGUUGUAGGGUCGAUAACAUGAGAUCUUAAGUUUUAGUUGAAUACUUCUGGAAAGUAGAACGAUACAGGGUGAUAGUCCCGUAAGCGAAAGAACAAGAGACUCUAUUCGAUACCUGAGUAGGGCUAGACACGUGAAACCUAGUCUGAAUCUGGGGAGACCACUCUCCAAGUCUAAAUACUAGUCAAUGACCUAUAGUGAACCAGUACUGUGAAGGAAAGGUGAAAAGAACCCUUGUUAAGGGAGUGAAAUAGAACCUGAAACCAGUAGCUUAUAAGCGGUCGGAGACCUAUAGCUUCCUCGGAAGCGAUGGUUGACGGCGUGCCUUUUGCAUGAUGAGCCAGGGAGUUAAGUUAAACGGCGAGGUUAAGGGAUUUACAUUCCGGAGCCGAAGCGAAAGCGAGUUUUAAUAGAGCGUAUAGUCGUUUGAUUUAGACACGAAACCAAGUGAGCUAUUUAUGACCAGGUUGAAGCAUGGGUAAGACCUUGUGGAGGACCGAACCAGUACAUGUUGAAAAAUGUUUGGAUGAGUUGUGAAUAGGGGUGAAAGGCCAAUCAAACUUGGAGAUAUCUUGUUCUCUCCGAAAUAACUUUAGGGUUAGCCUCGGAUAUUAAGCUUUUGGGGGUAGAGCACUGAAUUCUAGCGGGGGCCUACCGGCUUACCAACGGAAAUCAAACUCCGAAUACCAAAAGCGAGUCCGGGAGAUAGACAGCGGGGGCUAAGCUUCGUUGUCGAGAGGGGAACAGCCCAGACCGCCGAUUAAGGUCCCAAAUUUUAUGCUAAGUGAGUAAGGAAGUGAUGAUUCUAAGACAGUUGGAAUGUUGGCUUAGAGGCAGCAAUCAUUUAAAGAGUGCGUAACAGCUCACCAAUCGAGAAUCAUCGCGCCAAUAAUAAUCGGGGCUCAAGCAUAAAACCGACAUCGCGGGUGUAUAUUUUAUAUAUACGCGGUAGGAGAGCGUAGUAUUCAGCAGCGAAGGUAUACCGUAAGGAGUACUGGAGCGGAUACUAGUGAAGAUCCAUGGCAUAAGUAACGAUAAAGGAAGUGAAAAUCUUCCUCGCCGUAAGCACAAGGUUUCCAGGGUCAAGCUCGUCUUCCCUGGGUUAGUCGGCCCCUAAGUCGAGGCACAAAUGCGUAGACGAUGGAGUAACAGGUUAAAUAUUCCUGUACCACCUAAAACUUUAGCAAUGGAAUGACGGAGUACGUUAAGCACGCGGACGAUUGGAAAUGUCCGUAUCACAAUGAGACUGGUUAGUAGGUAAAUCCGCUAACAUAAGGUUAGGUUGUGGUUAAGGGAAAUCUUCGGAGGAACUGAUAGUGUAGCGCAAUGCUUUCAAGAAAUAAUUUCUAGCUGUUGAUGGUGACCGUACCUAAACCGACACAGGUGUGCGAGAUGAGUAUUCUAAGGCGCGCGAGAUAACUUUCGUUAAGGAACUCGGCAAAUUAUCCCCGUAACUUCGGAAGAAGGGGAGCCUUCUAGGGUGAUUACCUUUACGGUAUGAGCUCCGGGAGGCCGCAGAGAAAUGGCCCAGGCGACUGUUUAACAAAAACACAGCACUAUGCAAACCUCUAAGGGGAAGUAUAUGGUGUGACGCCUGCCCAAUGCCAAAAGGUUAAAGGAAUAUGUCAGCCGUAAGGCAAAGCAUUGAACCCAAGCCCUGGUGAAUGGCCG